This 268-nucleotide long non-coding RNA is filed under the name Helianthus annuus (common sunflower). Its description in RNAcentral is "sRNA HanXRQr2_Chr08g0321861". Lineage: Eukaryota; Viridiplantae; Streptophyta; Magnoliopsida; Asterales; Asteraceae. The record is from RNAcentral.
GUUAGCCGUUUGACCAUGGUUAUUUUGACCAAAGUCCACUCCUCAUUCGGCGCUUUGUGGUAGCACCACCAGUCAAAAAAGGCCCAAAACACCCGAGGGUACAGUGUUCCCCCACGUUUUUAAGACGCUUUGAGAGAGGUUUGCGCCCCACCACAUGUGGUCUCACAAAACUUCAAAUCUAUGGACGUGUGGUUUCUCAACCCUCUUCAAAAGACGUCACAAACAUGACUUCGAAAAUCUUGUAAUCAUCACCGAGAGUCACGAAUAA